GAUGAAGAACGUAGCGAAAUGCGAUAAGUAAUGUGAAUUGCAGAAUUCAGUGAAUCAUCGAAUCUUUGAACGCACAUUGCGCCCUCUGGUAUUCCGGGGGGCAUGCCUGUUCGAGCGUCAUUAUAACCACUCAAGCUCUCGCUUGGUAUUGGGGUUCGCGGUUUCGCGGCCCCUAAAAUCAGUGGCGGUGCCUGUCGGCUCUACGCGUAGUAAUACUUCUCGCGAUUGAGUUCGAUAGGUCUACUUGCCAGUAACCCCCAAUUUUUCCAGGUUGACCUCGGAUCAGGUAGGGAUACCCGCUGAACUUAAGCAUAUCAAUAAGCGGAGGA
Molecule: unclassified non-coding RNA, 329 nt
Filed under: soil metagenome
Description: partial contains 5.8S ribosomal RNA, internal transcribed spacer 2, and large subunit ribosomal RNA
Rfam family: 5.8S ribosomal RNA (bases 1-120)
Source: RNAcentral